Molecule: non-coding RNA, 1921 nt
Organism: Arachis ipaensis
Lineage: Eukaryota; Viridiplantae; Streptophyta; Magnoliopsida; Fabales; Fabaceae
Source: RefSeq, a predicted model, not a curated record
CUGCAAGAAGUUAUGCCAGGGGUUAAUCACAGGUUUUGUACAAUGCAUAUGUGGAGGAAUUUCCAAAAGCGUUGGAAAGAUCUGGAACUUAAACAAUUGUUGUUUCAAUGUGCAAGGGCGUUGACUGAUCAGGAAUUUGCUGAAGGUAUGGCUGCAAUAAAAAGGAUUAAUACAGCAGCCUGGGAAUACUUGUCUGCAUAUGAGCAAGGAACAUGGUCAAGAUCAAGAUUCUCUACCUGGCCAAAGGUAGAUAACAUAACAAAUAAUAAUGCAGAAUCACUUAAUGCAACAAUGGUGGGUUUAAGAGGCAAGAGCAUAAUUACCAUGCUGGAGGAUAUCAGAUAUUACCUGAUGAAAACUAUGGCAUUCCACAAAGAUGCAUUAAUGGCCUACACGGGCAAGCUGGCUCCUAUCCAAACGAGCAGGUUGGAGAAAGAAAAGAAGGAAGGAAAUUACUGGGAAGCUCAGUGGGUGGGAGAUGAUGAUCACAAUGUGUUUGAGGUAAGAAGGCAUGGUCACACACUUCAGGUCAACACUCAAGAGAGGACUUGCACCUGUAGAAAGUGGCAACUGACAGGCCUGCCGUGCUGUCAUGGAGUUGUUGCAAUUCAAAGAAAAAAUCAAAGGCCAGAAGAUUAUGUCCACCAUUGGCUGACUAUGGAGGCAUAUAACAGAACUUACCAAUUUCAUAUCAACACAGUCCCUAGUCAGGAGUAUUGGGCUGAUACAGAGGGACUGCCAUGUCUCCCUCCACCUUAUAAGAGGCCAAUAGGAAGACCUACAAAAAAAAGAGCUCGACAUGAAUCAGAGAGGCAGAGUGGUAGCCAGUACAAACUUAAGAGGAGUUAUGACAAAACAAGUUGUAAACUUUGCAAAAAGGUAAAAAAUAAUCUAACUUGCUGUUGAGUAUUGUCAUAUAUUGAUGGUUGGAAUGAUGUUGUAUUCGUAGGUUGGGCACAACUCAAGAACCUGUCCUGAUAAGAAGUCGCAUGUGGCAUCUGAGGAAGAUGCAACCGCACAGCAAUCACCUCAAGCAGGUCAGGCAGAUGGAGGACAUGUUCAGCCACCAACUCAACAAAAUUUGCCACAUAUGGAUUUAGAGGACAUGUCAGACUCCGAGCAAGAGAGGUUUUGGGAGGAGACCAUGGAUGCAGUUGAACAAGAGCUCACACAAGGCCAUCCACAUUCUGAAGCUGAUGAAGAGGCCAAUCUCAACCUAUCUGGUUCAACAAGUCAGUCUGCUGGAAGGAGAUCUCCUAGGACCAACCCUGGGAGGAGAGCAACCAGAUCUAGCAAAGGUCCUGCAUCAACUCCUAAAACUCCCUCCAAUACUACUGCUGCCGCUGCUGCUUCUUCUAGCAGGGAAGGAAUCAGGGUAAAGAUGCCUAUUAUGAGGCCCCCAUCAGCUCCAUGUCCAGCAGCCACUCCAAGGCCCACAGCUCCAAGUCCAGCAGCCACAACAAGGCCCACAGCUCUAAGUCCAACAACCACUCCAAGGCCCAACCCACCAUUUAGGCCCACACAAGUACGGCCCGUUGGACCUACUUCAACUGCUGUCCCUGGUUUAGGAGUUGCAGAAACCACAAGGACUCCUGUGGUGUCAAAUGAAACCAUGAAUGGAGCUAGUAAAGCAACAACUUCUAGGUUCUCUAAGUUCAUGCCAAAUCAGUCUGGUUGAAAGGGACUUGCAUAUGUGAUUAGUUCUUCUUUUGAGUUAUGAGUUAAAGAUUAGUUGUUAUACUGUUUCUACUUUUUGAGUUAUAUGUUGUUCUUAGCAUUCAUGGCAAUUGGCCUUUGCUGCACAAUUUAUGUCUUUUGGUGUCUGAAAUUAAGACUAAUUAGUGAGUAUUGAGUAUUUUGGUUAGAACAAUAUGUGUUAAGGCUAAUUGUUAUCCAGAUCAAACUUUUUGGUUGGAACAAU